AUGAACGCUGGCGGCGUGCCUAACACAUGCAAGUCGAACGGGACUAUCAAGUGAUGUUUCGGACUGAACUUUUAGUUAGUGGCGGACGGGUGAGUAACGCGUGGACAACCUGCCUCUCACUGGGGGAUAGCAGCUGGAAACGGCUGGUAAUACCGCAUGCGUUCAAUGUGCCGCAUGACACAUUGAAGAAAGAUUUAUCGGUGAGAGAUGGGUCCGCGUCUGAUUAGCCAGUUGGCGGGGUAACGGCCCACCAAAGCGACGAUCAGUAGCCGGCCUGAGAGGGCGGACGGCCACAUUGGGACUGAGACACGGCCCAGACUCCUACGGGAGGCAGCAGUGGGGGAUAUUGCACAAUGGGCGCAAGCCUGAUGCAGCGACGCCGCCGUGAGUGAAGAAGUAUUUCGGUAUGUAAAGCUCUAUCAGCAGGGAAGAAAGGCCCGCAAGGGAGAUGACGGUACCUGACUAAGAAGCCCCGGCUAACUACGUGCCAGCAGCCGC
This 498-nucleotide ribosomal RNA is filed under the name uncultured bacterium. RNAcentral's name for it is "bacterial SSU rRNA". It matches the Rfam family "Bacterial small subunit ribosomal RNA", at positions 29 to 518 of the family's 1533-position model. The record is from RNAcentral.